This 397-nucleotide ribosomal RNA is filed under the name Phyllium antonkozlovi. Its description in RNAcentral is "partial large subunit ribosomal RNA". Lineage: Eukaryota; Metazoa; Arthropoda; Insecta; Phasmatodea; Phylliidae. The record is from RNAcentral.
AAGGUAGCAUAAUCAUUAGCUUGUUAAUUGCAAGAUUGUAUGAAUGGUUGGACGAAAUAUUAACUGUCUCAUAUUAAUUGUUUAUAAUUUAAUUUUUGAGUUAAAAAGCUUAAAUUUUUUUAAAGGACGANAAAACCCUAUANAUCUUUAUUUUCAUUAUUAAUUUAUUUUUGUAUUUAUUUAUUUUGUGAAUUUUUAAUUGGGGUGAUUUUGANAUAUAAUUAACUCUUUAUUUUUAUUUUCAUUUAUUUUUGUUUAUUUGACCUUUUAUUAUUGUUUAUAAAAUUAAAAUACCUUAGGGAUAACAGCGUAAUUCUUUUUGAAAGUUCUUAUUGACAGGGGAAAUUGCGACCUCGAUGUUGAAUUAAAAUUAUUAUUAGGUGUAGUAGCUUAAUUG